AUACGCAGGUGGCGAGCGUUGUCCGGAAUUACUGGGUGUAAAGGGCGCGUAGGCGGGGAUGUAAGUCAGAUGUGAAAUACCAUGGCUCAACCGUGGGGCUGCAUCUGAAACUAUGUUUCUUGAGUGCUGGAGAGGAAAGCGGAAUUCCUAGUGUAGCGGUGAAAUGCGUAGAUAUUAGGAGGAACACCAGUGGCGAAGGCGGCUUUCUGGACAGUAACUGACGCUGAGGCGCGAAAGCGUGGGGAGCGAACAGGAUGAGAUACCCUGGUAGUCCACGCCGUAAACGAUGGAUACUAGGUGUAGGAGGUAUCGACCCCUUCUGUGCCGGAGUAAACACAAUAAGUAUCCCACCUGGGGAGUACGGCCGCAAGGUUGAA
RNAcentral lists this ribosomal RNA (377 nucleotides) under uncultured bacterium. RNAcentral describes it as "bacterial SSU rRNA". It matches the Rfam family "Bacterial small subunit ribosomal RNA", at positions 523 to 898 of the family's 1533-position model. The record is from RNAcentral.